This 248-nucleotide ribosomal RNA is filed under the name Enterococcus faecium. Its description in RNAcentral is "partial 16S ribosomal RNA". It matches the Rfam family "Bacterial small subunit ribosomal RNA", at positions 1287 to 1533 of the family's 1533-position model. The record is from RNAcentral. Lineage: Bacteria; Bacillati; Bacillota; Bacilli; Lactobacillales; Enterococcaceae.
CUCAGUUCGGAUUGCAGGCUGCAACUCGCCUGCAUGAAGCCGGAAUCGCUAGUAAUCGCGGAUCAGCACGCCGCGGUGAAUACGUUCCCGGGCCUUGUACACACCGCCCGUCACACCACGAGAGUUUAUAACACCCGAAGUCGGUGAGGUAACCUUUUUGGAGCCAGCCGCCUAAGGUGGGAUAGAUGAUUGGGGUGAAGUCGUAACAAGGUAGCCGUAUCGGAAGGUGCGGCUGGAUCACCUCCUUU